AUACUUACCUGGAAAGGGAGAUACCAUGAUCAUGAAGGUGGUUUUCCCAGGGCUAGGCUUAUCCAUUGCACUCCAGAUGUGCUGACCCCUGCGAUUUCCCCAAAUGUGGGAAACUCGACUGCAUAAUUUGUGGUAGUGGGGGACUGCAUUCACACUCUCCCCUG
Molecule: small nuclear RNA, 164 nt
Filed under: Castor canadensis (American beaver)
Lineage: Eukaryota; Metazoa; Chordata; Mammalia; Rodentia; Castoridae
Description: U1 spliceosomal RNA (ENSCCNG00000031772.1)
Rfam family: U1 spliceosomal RNA
About the family: U1 is a small nuclear RNA (snRNA) component of the spliceosome (involved in pre-mRNA splicing). Its 5' end forms complementary base pairs with the 5' splice junction, thus defining the 5' donor site of an intron. There are significant differences in sequence and secondary structure between metazoan and yeast U1 snRNAs, the latter being much longer (568 nucleotides as compared to 164 nucleotides in human).
Source: Rfam by way of RNAcentral